Molecule: ribosomal RNA, 588 nt
Filed under: Triticum aestivum (bread wheat)
Lineage: Eukaryota; Viridiplantae; Streptophyta; Magnoliopsida; Poales; Poaceae
Description: partial small subunit ribosomal RNA
Source: RNAcentral
AUGGCAGGUGAAGAAAACAAGUAUGGUGUUGAAGGAAAUGGGCAUCUCAAUCAGCCCGUCACACGGUUUCACUUCAACGCAUUACGUGAUCAUCUACGCCGAGAGUUCGGAAACAGCCUUGACCCAAUUGAAGAGAAGCAAGACAAGUUGUCGAGAGAUUUGCAGCAACUUAUGGGUAAUGUUGAUGAGCAACUCACUCAGAACAUGGCAACCAUGAGGACUGGUAUUGUUGCUGAUAUUGUGCGAGAGCUUUGUCAGAACCGAGAAGAUGCAAGUGUCCAUGGUGAAGAACAAAAUGUAACUGAUGGGGAAGGUGCUGCCUCCAAUGCACAAGCUGGAAGAAACCAUGCUCCUGCUCCCCAUGCCAUGAGACCUCCCGGUCCCGGACGUGGAAAUGAUCAUGGUAAUGGACGUGGUCAUCAUGAAGCUGCUGCUGGUCGUGGUCUUAGAGGAGGCCGCCGAAGAGCAAAUCUGCACCAUGAAGGUAGUGGAGAUGAGUUUGAUGAAGAUGAAGAUGGCAUGCACCAGAAUGACAGAUUUCAUCAUCGUAGAAUCUAUGGUCGUGGAUGGCAGGAGGAGAAGAGGUUU